Molecule: ribosomal RNA, 253 nt
Filed under: uncultured bacterium
Lineage: Bacteria
Description: partial 16S ribosomal RNA
Rfam family: Bacterial small subunit ribosomal RNA
Source: RNAcentral
UACAGAGGGGGCAAGCGUUGUUCGGAAUUACUGGGCGUAAAGGGCGCGUAGGCGGCCUGCUAAGUCGAACGUGAAAGCCCCGAGCUUAACUUGGGAAUUGCGCUUGUGACUGGCGUGCUGGAGUGUGGCAGAGGGAGGUGGAAUUCCACGUGUAGCAGUGAAAUGCGUAGAGAUGUGGAGGAACACCGAUGGCGAAGGCAGCCUCCUGGGCCAGCACUGACGCUCAUGCACGAAAGCGUGGGGAGCAAACAGG